Molecule: long non-coding RNA, 122 nt
Organism: Gopherus evgoodei (Goodes thornscrub tortoise)
Lineage: Eukaryota; Metazoa; Chordata; Testudines; Testudinidae
Exons: 3
Source: RefSeq, a predicted model, not a curated record
AAUCCUCUGAGUGGCCCUAACACCAUAUGGACAAUGGCUUCUGUCUGUAGAGACUGUGAGUCAUGCAUGGACAUGUGACUUGCCCAGGUGAUUCCAGAACUCCAUCUUGGAGCUGGACUUUG